Molecule: non-coding RNA, 319 nt
Organism: Pelobates cultripes (western spadefoot toad)
Lineage: Eukaryota; Metazoa; Chordata; Amphibia; Anura; Pelobatidae
Source: the annotation of a GenBank genome assembly
CUGAUCUGCUGGGGAGCAGCUACACAGCACAGAGAGUCCAGACAGCAGCUCCCAGCCUGCAGAGAUAGGCUACAGCUCAGGUAUGUGAAGGAUGGGGGGAAAGGCAGCAGGGAGACAUGGAGACACUGAGACACUAGGGGACACUGGGAGAUGUGGGGACACUGAGAAACAUAGGGACACUGAGACACAUGGGGACGCUGUGAGACAUAGGGAGACAUAUUGGGACAUGGAGACACUAGGGACACAGUGUCUCCAUGUCUCCCAGUGUCCCCAUGUCUCCCAGCGUCCCCAUGGCUCCCAGUGUCCCCAUGGCUCCCAG